AUGCUUGCAUCUUUUAAAGAGUCUAGUGGGGAACGGGUGAGUAACACGUGGGUAACCUACCUUAAAGUGGGGGAUAACACUUGGAAACAGGUGCUAAUACCGCAUAACCAUCAAAACCGCCUGGUUUUGAUGUUAAAGAUGGUUCUGCUAUCGCUUUAAGAUGGACCCGCGGCGUAUUAGCUAGUUGGUGAGGUAACGGCUUACCAAGGCAAUGAUACGUAGCCGAACUGAGAGGUUGAUCGGCCACAUUGGGACUGAGACACGGCCCAAACUCCUACGGGAGGCAGCAGUAGGGAAUCUUCCACAAUGGACGAAAGUCUGAUGGAGCAACGCCGCGUGAGUGAAGAAGGUUUUCGGAUCGUAAAACUCUGUUGUCAGAGAAGAACGUGUGUGAGAGUAACUGUUCACGCAGUGACGGUAUCUGACCAGAAAGUCACGGCUAACUACGUGCCAGCAGCCGCGGUAAUACGUAGGUGGCAAGCGUUGUCCGGAUUUAUUGGGCGUAAAGGGAACGCAGGCGGUCUUUUAAGUCUGAUGUGAAAGCCUUCGGCUUAACCGAAGUCGGGCAUUGGAAACUGGGAGACUUGAGUGCAGAAGAGGAGAGUGGAACUCCAUGUGUAGCGGUGAAAUGCGUAGAUAUAUGGAAGAACACCAGUGGCGAAAGCGGCUCUCUGGUCUGUAACUGACGCUGAGGUUCGAAAGCGUGGGUAGCAAACAGGAUUAGAUACCCUGGUAGUCCACGCCGUAAACGAUGAAUGCUAAGUGU
RNAcentral lists this ribosomal RNA (766 nucleotides) under uncultured bacterium. RNAcentral's name for it is "bacterial SSU rRNA". It matches the Rfam family "Bacterial small subunit ribosomal RNA", at positions 70 to 823 of the family's 1533-position model. The record is from RNAcentral.